Molecule: non-coding RNA, 719 nt
Organism: Labrus mixtus (cuckoo wrasse)
Lineage: Eukaryota; Metazoa; Chordata; Actinopteri; Labriformes; Labridae
Source: the annotation of a RefSeq genome assembly
GUUCCUCCUGUUGGUUUAAACCUGGUUUUAGAAAUGGAACUUUGGCUGUGGAUUAUUCUGGCUGCUCUUUUCUUUGAGUGUAAAGGAGAAGACAGAGUGAUCCAGCCAUCAGAAGAUGUCUUUGCUUCUGAAGGAGACACAGUCACACUUGAUUGUAAAUUUGAGACAACUUACACAACCCCCUCUUUGUUCUGGUACAGACAAGAAAUGGGUGAUUUCCCAAAGUACCUGUGGAAAAGCUAUGCAGGACUGUCACAAAAUGCUCUUGGGAUCUCAGAAGACAGAUUUAAUGCAACAAUCAACGGGACAUCAGUUCCUCUGAAGAUCCAGAAGCUUCAGCUGACUGACUCUGCUGUGUACUACUGUGCUCUGAGGCCCACAGUGACAGGAAACACCACAACUCUGUACAAAAACCUCUGGAGAGAAGACAACACAAUACUCCACAACAUCCACUAGAGGGAGUCACACACUGAUAAACUUCUAUGGUAUGUCAUGAUGAAGGCUUGAUGUUUCUCAAUUCAGAAAUGAAACUAGUUCAACAGAUGAGUCUCCUCCCAAUGACUGCAGAGGUGUUUGAUGACAGAGAACUGUUUGAUUCCAGCUGUGAACAUCAGACCAAACUCUACUCACAAAACUGAAUCAUACUGAACAUUCAGUUACAGCAUCUCACCUCUACAAACAUGGAACAACUCACUGUUAUUUUGUUCUGCUCAGCUCUC